UUUGGAGGCGCCCGAAGGUGGGGGGUCGGCUAGAAGGAAAGACUUCAGCCAGAGGUACAUGAACCACAGAUGUUCAUCACCCUUCUCAGGACCACGUUCCUUUUUGGCAGCCCAGGUGGGAUGACCAGAAAUGAAGUAAGUAGAACAAGGCAACCCUGGUACUGCCCUGCUCAGGCUCCACAGCUCACUGUACACAUUCUGCUUAGCAUUUUAAACUAAAAGAGCUUCUGGUGAAAGCAAAUUACAUCCUGAAACUUUUCUCCAGAAUAGGUAAGUUCUCAUUUAGUCUGAAACCUAUGUUCCCAUAGUUUUGCCUUCUUAAUCUAUUUCCCAUCUUCAAAACCUAAACACACCUUAUCCAUCCUUAUAGACUCUGCCCAAGUUCCAGCUUCUGUGAAGAUCUGACCCAAAUUUGAAUCCAAAUGAAUUUUUCUUUCUGAUGCUUCUGUGACGUGAAUAUUUUAUUGCUUAGUAGUUAUUCCAUGAACAUGUAUCCUGCUCUAGAGGUUAUGGAAUAUCUAUAUCAUUUAUUGUUUUUGGAAUCUAAAGCAUUACCAGCUCACUUCUGGGCUAAUAGGAGGUGCUAAAAGUAGGCAAAAAGAGGGCCCUAUUCACAUAUACUUGCUCAAAGUGGAAAACCUGCUGGAACCCUCUAAGAUGAAUCUUUUUUCUUCUCCAUAUAAAUCUUUAAUGACAUUUUGGUUUUUAUUUCUGCCAUUAAUUUAAAAAGUGCUAGGAAAAUAAUUUCUUAUUUGCACAUGAAAUAAUGCAGUGCUUUUCAGAAUAAAAACACAUGAGUCAUUUUUGUGAUGAAUAAUUUGGUAUAUUUGGGUAUAUUCUAUUUCUGGAUAAAUAGUUCAAAUAGGAUUUUAGUAAUGCAUGUGUGAUACAUACUUAAAAACAAAAAUAAAGUAUCUUCUUGAGUGUUUGCCUUUGUUGUAAAUUCAGUCAUUCAAAUUGUUGUCUCUCAAGACCCAAAAAUGCUAGGGCAUUGCCAGCUUUGAGUUUAUCCUGAAAAAAUGAAAAGGAAAGAUUUUAAUUCAAAGCAUUAUUUAAUGAUUUUUAAUAAAUAUUUAUUAAAUAUCUUUAUCAGAUUUAAAAAAAUCAAUUCUCUAAUGUGAUAGAAAAAUAUUAUUAGCAGGUUAAACAGUAAGUCUCUUUGCCCAUGUUUUACCCUACUACUAUUUUUAAAAUUAUAGUCAUAUAUUUGUAUUGAAUAAUCUUUUAAAAGCAAAAAUAUAAAUGAUGUAUGGUAUAUUUGUGCUUUUAUGAUUUUCCCUGCUUCUCAAAUAUGUCGACAAUCAUGGACAAAACAGCUGGAGUUUUUGAAUUUCUGAACAUGGAAAUAAUAUGUAUUUAUUUUUUCUUUUUAGGGCCACACCUGUGGAAUAUGGAAGUUCUCAGGCUAGGGACUGAACUGGAGCUGCAGCUGCCAGCCUACACCACAGCCACAGCAACGCCAAAUCGAAGCUGCAUCUGUGGCCUAUGCCACAGCUUGCAGCAACACUGGAUCCUUAACCCACUGAGUGAGGCCGGGGUGGAACCUGCAUCCUCAUAGAUACUAGUUGGAUUCUUAACCCACUAAGCCCCAAUGGGAACUCCCUGCAAAUGCAUUUAAAUAAGAUAAUAAAUAUAGUAAUAAGCUUAAACAAAAAAUAGAAUUACAAUAUGACCCAACAAUUCCACUCCUAGUCAUAUAUAAAAGACUUAAAGGCGUUCCUGCUGUGGCAUAACAGGAUCAGUGACAUCUCUGGUGUGCUGGGACACAGGUUUGAUCCCUGGCUCAGCACAGUGCCUUAAGGAUCCAGCUUUGCUGCAGCUGCUGCUCAGAUCUGACCCCUGGCCCGGGAACUCCAUAUGUCCCGGGGCACCCAAAAAAGGAAAAAAAUAAUUAAAAACAUGUUCAUAACAACACUAUUCACAAUAUCCAAAAUACAGAAACAGCCUAAGCACACAUCAACAGACGAAUAUAUUUUUAAACCUGAUAUAUACAUAAGUGGAAUAUUCAGCCACCAAAAGAAAUGGAGUUCUUUUUUUUCUUCCAGUUUUAUUGAGAUAUAAUUGAUACACAACACUGUAUAAGGUUUUUUGAAAACUCGAAAGUGAUAAGAUAUAAAAGUAAAUCAUAGCAGACAUAUAAUAGUAAUUAUUAUUAUUUCAUUAAAGUCUUAAUCCAGAUACUUGGGGUAAUCUGCUUUCAGUUUAAUUUUGGUUAACAUUAUACAAAGUUUUUCAUUUUCAAACUUUGAUUUAAAAAGAAAAAAAAUCUUAGCUUCCUGCUUUAAUAAGUAAAUAUUUAAUAAUUCAAGACUUCUGGUGCCUUAAAGGUGGGUAAGUGCGAAAGGAGGCACUUUCCAGUUCAUAACUUGCAACUAGUACAUAUCGAAGAGGACUCUUCUUGGCAUCUAUUGUGUUUCAAGCUUGCUAUGAUGAGUUGUAUCUUUAACGACUAAAGCAGAGAAUUAGAGUCAAAGAGAACUUUUGGAUUCUAGGUUAGAAGAAAGCCAAGACUUAUGUAAAAGGAUUAUGACUAAGACUUUUCUAAGAUUUGUAAGAAUUUUUAUGUCCCCAUGUUUUCAUUUUGGGCCAUCCCUGUCCCCUGGUAGUGAUUGAAAGUGGUCUUAGGAAGAACUUGUUUUAUUGGGAGUGGGUGUAGAAUGGGAAGAGAGAGGAAGUCUGAGGACACUGCAUCUCAUUUUAAACUUAUUUUGGCUCAGGACUUAAAGGGCAGAAUAGGCAGUGGCAGCAUUAAGGCACAUUUACUCACCCUAAAAGUCAAAUGCUACAAGAAAAAAAAAAUCCAGUUACUUGAUUUUUAUGGAUGCUUGAGUCCUGUUAAUCAAGACUUUAGUCUCAAUAGUGAAAUAACUAGGAUCGUUACAACUUUUGAGAUUGGUAGAUUUGUAAUAGAAAUAUUAAAUGAAAAAAAAUUUUAAAUUAGAAAAUUUUUCUUAUUCAUCUAACAUGCAAACCUAAAUAUAUUAUUAUAAUGUGCUUCUUUACAGUCUUCUUUCUUGUCUUUAUGAAUUUAGUUGUACUAGGUUGACUUUCAGCUUUUAAAAUUUCCUUCACCCUUUAAUAGGUCACCUAUUUCUGGAGAUCGAGUAACAAUUUUAGGAAUAUUAAGUGUAAUGGUUUCUCUGUUCUUUGCUAUCACAUAUCGAAGUGCUCUGAACCCAAACACAACUAGAGCAGGAAAAUUCAGGAAGAAGACCAAACACACCUUAGUUUCUUCAUCAAAUUCUUCCAUGGAGUCUAUCAGUUUCCCAGGUUCCAGCUCACCUAGUGGAAAGGGGUAAUCAGUUCCCAAAAUGACUUUAUCCUGAAAAAAGAAAAAAACUUUUAUCUCUAAUUUUGUAGAGAAUCAAAGAACCUCUUGUAAACUUAGUUAUAUUCACUUAUUACAAGCACUUCUAUGGUAAAAUAACAAAUUUCUUCCUGAUUAGUAGAAAUAAACUGAUCUAAAAUUUUAAAGAUUAAAUGGAUUUAAAAUUUAUUCUGACAUUUUCUCCAGCAGGUGUCGCUAUUAGGUCUCUCAAAGCUGCAAAUGAAUCCUCAUUUCCAUUAUUUAUUUAUUUUUAAAUAACUAAAAUACAGAAUACUCAUAUAUAAGAAGCAGACAUUUGUUGAGUAAAACAUGCUGAUUCUUCAGAUGAAAUUAGGGAUUCUAUAUUUCUUAGAAUGAUGCAUUGCAAUUGAUCCCACAAUUUUUGAAAAUAUAACCAUAAUUG
Molecule: long non-coding RNA, 3731 nt
Filed under: Sus scrofa (pig)
Lineage: Eukaryota; Metazoa; Chordata; Mammalia; Artiodactyla; Suidae
Description: lncRNA (ENSSSCG00000055303.1)
Source: RNAcentral